This 822-nucleotide long non-coding RNA is filed under the name Struthio camelus australis. RNAcentral describes it as "lncRNA (ENSSCUG00000011510.1)". The record is from RNAcentral. Lineage: Eukaryota; Metazoa; Chordata; Aves; Struthioniformes; Struthionidae.
AUGAACUACCAUCCACGUGGGGUUCUCUGGCACAGGCCAAGUCUGAGGAAGCUGUGUCCGUGGGAAAGUCCAGAACCUAUCAAGAGGGCAAUUUGGAAAAAUGCUGCAGAGGAAGAAGGCUACACCAAUGAGAGAAUGGAUUUCUUCCUUCCACAGCUAGCAAGAGAAUACCCAAACGCGCCCGUGGGAACUAGAGACAGUGGACGAGCUAGACCUGCACCGUUUGUGUACGGGAGAUACUCAGCUGACUCCCUCCUGUCAUUUGGAACGUGGAAAAAUCCUGGCGUUGAACAAGGUGGAGACCGAGGGCCUCACAUACCAGCUAAUCUACCUGGCUGGGCUGGCCAGCAUGACAGCGAUUUGCAUUUCUGCUCCAAGAGAUGUAGGAGGUGAUUGCCAAUGAGACCUGCUGUCUAGAGACCUAGACCGAUUCCUUCUGCGGCCUCCUUUCCAAAUGGUGAACGGUUCCAUAAGAGACUGAUGGCGACUGCUAAAACCUCUCUGCCCUGAAGCCAGCAAGGUAAGACAUUUGACAGUGUCCCCUUCAUAUGUAGGUAUUCUAUAGUCAGUAAGGGACCCUCAUGCGCAGGGAGGAGGGGAGGGACGCUCACUCUGAUGCUUCCCUUUGAAACAAACAAGAACAAAACAGACAGACAGACAGACAGACAGACGCACAGCCAGGAAUAUACAGAAGAGUGGUGCAAGGGCCCAGGGGAGCACACUUCAGUGAGUCCCUAAGCGCACCUCAGUGCUGGGAGAGCACAGCCCCCCCCAAUCACACGCACACCACACUACCCCAGAGACGCUCCAUUUCAGCCAGUG